This is a long non-coding RNA of Brassica napus (rape), 3430 nucleotides long. RefSeq lists it as uncharacterized. NCBI's taxonomy places the organism in Eukaryota, Viridiplantae, Streptophyta, Magnoliopsida, Brassicales, Brassicaceae. The transcript has 3 exons. The record is from RefSeq and is a predicted model, not a curated record.
GCAGAGGAGAAGUUAACAACAAUCAAAGUCUCGUAUAUAAACUGGGACAAGCUAGGGAAGUCUUUCAUAUCAAAGCCUGAGUGGCCCCUCCUCCUUUAUUAAAUGUUUUAAAUAUUUAUGUUUUUAUUUUUAUUUUCGGAACCUGAAAACAUUGACUUCACCGAUUUUUAAACCGGAUUAUAUUAUAAGUUCCUUUUGCAGAUAUUAUUUGGGUGUCCUAUUAUUUAUAUUUUUUAUCUGGAUUGCUUCGUUUUGCUAAAGUAAAGGUUCAACUUUGUCAUACUUUGGCAAAUUUUUACCCCACAGCUUUUGUCACAUUGACAACUUCUAGGAUUACGUUGGAUAAGAAGUAGAGAAAAGCCGUUUUCAGUCCACACGAGUUGGUACGAUUUGUCAAUGACUUUUGUCACAUUCUUAGGUCAUUGACAAAUCGUACGAUGAGCUGGAUAAGAUGUAGAGAGAAGCCUGUCAAAGUUACACUAUAUUUUAAUAUAUAUAUAUAUAUAUAUAUUUAGAAGCUAUAAAACAGUUAUUUCUUAAAAUUUUAGAUGGCAAGAUGAAUGUUUAUUUGGUUUGUCCUUGACCGGUCAUGUGUAAUCUAUAUAUAUAAAGUAGAGCUACUCUCUCCUGUGAAAGCGCCACGUCGCUAAAUCGUUCGACUACAGGCACGUGUCCUGAUUUAUUUAACGCUGUGCAUCAUUUUUUUGGUGGGUGCGUGGAUUUCGUUUCUGUGUUGUGUUUUGGGCUGUGUCCGGCCCGUUAGAGCAGAAGUCCUAAGUAACCCUAAUUUGACUCCAGAGAAAAACGAGCGGAACGAGCGUCUUCUUCCCUGUACGUGCGACGCCGACCAGAUACAGAUUCCAGGUCCGUGAUCAAUUCCAUUAGUUCACCCCCACUAUUUCGUCUUCAAUGCUUCGUUUUGAUCUGAAAGGCGGUUGUUAUUGGGUAUAAAUAUGUGUGAGUGUUUCUCCCUUUAUCUCAUCUUAUCUUGCAUCUCUUAAAUCUGCUACUCUCUCCGGUGAGAGCGCCACGUCACUAAAUCGUUCGACGACAGGACGACACGUGUCCUGAUUUAUUUAAAUGCUGCGCAUCAUUUUCUCGCUGGUUACUUGGGCUUCGUUUAUGUGUUGUGUUUUGGGCUGUGUCCGGCCCGUUAGAGCAGAAGUCCUAAAUAACCAUAAUUUGACUCCAGAGAAAAAUGAACGUUUUCUUCUUCCAUGUACGUGCGACGCCGACCAGAUGCCGAUUCCACUUCUUCUCAUCGACUGAAACGGUCCGUGAUCAAUUCCAUUAGUUCACUCCCCCACUAUUUCGUCUUCAAUGCUUCAUUUUGAUCUGAAAGACGAUUGUUAUUGGGUAUAAAUAUGUGUAAGUGUUUCUCCAUUUAUCUCAUCUUAUCUUGCAUAUCUUAAAUCUCAGCUACUCUCUCCUGUGAGAGCGCCACGUCACUAAAUCGUUCGACGACAGGACGACACGUGUCCUAAUUUAUUUAAACGCUGCGCAUCAUUUUCUCGCUGGUUACUUGGGCUUCGUUUAUGUGUUGUGUUUUGGGCUGUAUCCAGCCCGUUAGAGCAGAAGUCUUAAAUAACCCUAAUUUGACUCCAGAGAAAAACGAGCGUUUUUUUCUUCCUUGUACGUGUGACGCCGACCAGAUGCCGAUUCCACUUCUUCUCAUCGACUGAAACGGUCCGUGAUCAAUUCCAUUAGUUCACUCCCCCACUAUUUCGUCUUCAAUGCUUCGUUUUGAUCUGAAAGGCGGUUGUUAUUAGGUAUAAAUAUGUGUGAGUGUUUCUCCCUUUAUCUCAUUUUAUCUUACAUCCCUUAAAUCGCAUACUAACUGAUCGUGUUAUGGCCUGCUUCUUUGUUUGUCGACAUUUUUUCGGCGAGCCUCUUACUGUUUGUUCAACAAAUUUUUUUUCCUUCGUUUCCGGGGAGUCCCUUACUGUUUGUUCAUCGACAUUCUUUUGAAUCGGCGAGCCUUUUACUGUUUGUUCACGAAUUUUUUUUCUUGGAUCUUCUUCCUCUUUGUUAACCAUCUUAAAAAUAAUUUGGCUGCAGAGAAGAUACGUCGUGGUGGUGACCUACUGUCGAACCUUUCCUGUUUGUUCAUCAAAAUUUUUAUUUUUUUGCUUGGAUCUUCUUCGUGUUUGUAGAGAUAGGUUUUUGAUUCUGCUUUUAUAUGUGACCCAGUAUUGUAGUCAUUCUGCUACUAAACAUGUGUGAGUUUAGUAAUAUAUGUGGUCUGACGGGAGAUGGUGUUCUUAGUUUUAUUCACUGUUUAAUUGUGGCAGGUGGGGGGACCAUAAAUAUAUUACUAACUGCAAGGUUGAAGCAGAGGAAAGAAGAACCAAUUUGCGUCUGAGAGAGGAACAAGAUGCUGCUUACAGGGCUGCUCUUGAAGCCGAUCAAGCACGGGAGAGACAGAGAGAGGAAGAGGGGGAGCGGUUAGAGAGGGAAGCUGCUGAGGCAUAGAGGAAACGAAAAGAAGAAGAAAAGGCUCGGGAGAGAGCCGAGCGUGAAGCUGUAGAGAGAGAAGCUGCUAGAGUGAGAAUGAGACAAGAGAAAGCACCUGCUCUUGGAGACGAACCUGAGAAAGGACCUGAUGUUACCCAAGUUUUGGUAAGGUUCCCGAAUGGAGAAAGAAAAGGGAGGAGGUUUGAAAGCAAUAUCAAGAUAUAGACACUGUAUGACUGCAUUGAUUCACUUGGAGUGCUAGAAACAGAAGAGUAUAGUUUAAUCACAAACUUUCCAAAGAACCAUGUACGGAAGAGACAAAGAGUCAAUGUCACUGAAAGAUGCAGGUUUGCAUCCUCAGGCAAGUCUCUUCAUUGAGAUACAUUAAAUUUCAGAAUCUUUUGAUACUUUCUCCUUAAGCCACUCUUUCCUGCUUUUUUUCAACUCUUUUAAAAUAAUUAGUAGUGUAGCUUCAGUGAUCCGAUGAAUAAGAUAACAUAUAUAUACACAUAUUUUCAGAAGUUCAGAUUUGAUAAAUUUAUUCCUUAAAAUGAUGAGGGCUCACAUUGUACUUUUUUCUUGGUGUCAUAUUGAAGACAUCAAGAUGAGUCUUUGUUUUUAGCUGCAACAAACAAUUCUUUAGCUGGUGAAUUUCGGCAGAUCAAAAAUGUGUUAUAUAUUGUGAACUGGAAGAAAAAAUGUAUGAAAACGUACAAUUGAAUAAAAAGGUCAAAAAUAAAAAUAUUGAUGACAAUAUAAAAUAUUUAUAUAUUGGUGGUAAGCUAACUAAAUGAUUUCUAACAAUGAUAAUAUAAUAAAUAGUAAAAAUUGUAAGAAAAAAUUGUAAGAAUAAUAUAAUACGAAAAUGAUUUUUUGGUUAAGUCAAAACUUAAUUACAUCAUUAGUCAUGAUAAAAUUAGUAUUAUUAUAAGUUCAGAUAUUUUGUUUGCUGCCAUCUCAACAAACGAGAAAAGAA